AACGCACAUUGCGCCCUUUGGUAUUCCUUAGGGCAUGCCUGUUCGAGCGUCAUUUAAACCUUCAAGCUCAGCUUGGUGUUGGGUGUCUGUCCCGCCUCGGCGCGGACUCGCCUUAAAUUCAUUGGCGGCCGGUACAUUGGCUUCGAGCGCAGCAGAAACGCGAACUCGAGGACAAUGGAUCAGCUCCCAUAAGCUAUUUUCUAUUUUUGACCUCGGAUCAGGUAGGGAUACCCGCUGAACUUAA
This 244-nucleotide unclassified non-coding RNA is filed under the name uncultured fungus. RNAcentral's name for it is "partial contains 5.8S ribosomal RNA, internal transcribed spacer 2, and large subunit ribosomal RNA". Lineage: Eukaryota; Fungi. The record is from RNAcentral.